GGGCGACCUGACCCUUAUGAAGCUAAAAAGGGUGUCCUGAUAUUUUCCUGGCCAAGUCAAAUACUGUAACUACUAGCGACUGCUCGAUUUUUGUUGUUGUAUGCCUUAAGUGUGUGUGUGUGCAAAUGAAAUCUGUCAGCUUUGGGAUGUUUUUUAGUGAAUAUGGGUGCUAGAGUGAGCUGAACCUUUGCAAGCCUCCUAACUGCUAAAGGGAUGCAAAGGGCUGCCUCUGCCUCUGCCAAAGUACACACGCACACGGGGAUGCGUACGUCUGUACCGCAGCCACGAUGAGCAGCCUGUCGCUUUCCCUGCAGUUUGGAUAUGCUUCAUCUGGAGCUCAGGGGUCUGCAGUGAGGAUCACUUGGACUUGUAUUUUUGUUGGCAAGGUAGCCCCUCACUUCCAGGGAGAGUUCAGCACGUUUUCCGAGGUCUUGAGCUUUGUGUUUGACUUUCAGAUUUACAGUCCUGCCUGAAGAUGAGAACCCCAGUCUCUCCCAUCCGCAUGUGUAUGCUAUGCCAUGGCACAGGUUUAACUCUCAUCCCCCCCCCCCAACCCGACUUCUGGACGAGAUGUAGACGAUGUGGGGUCUGAAUUUCAAUUUUGAGACGAGUCAAAUCUAUCAAAAGUAACAGCAAAUAUUCAGAGCUGGGUUGGAUCUUCUACAUGUUUGCAGAGGUCCUCAAUAUUUGAAGUUCUAAGCAACAACAUCUAUGAGGCCAUAGAUGCUGGAAGAUGGUUAAGCACUUCACUAGCUUAAGGCAGUAACUGGUCACUUUGAUUUUAUGUUUCAUUACCAAAAUGUUUUACUGCAGUUUUACUCAGGUACUUGAACUUAAACAAAGUUUGUAAGCAGCUAAUUAUAUCAUGGCCCUGUCAUUGUCUGUUGUAACUGCAGAUCCUCCAUACUUCUGAAAAUAAUCUAUCCCAUGGUACGCCAUAUAUUAGGACUUUAAUGUACUCUGCUGCAACAUAUCUUGUACAAUACAAUUCACAAAAAGUGUUUUAGGUUUUGUGUACAGUUUAAAAUUCUUAUCAUCUUUGCACAUUAUUUGGGGAAAAAAACCCUGAAAGGCAUAAAAAUGAUGUAUACAUAUAGUUUUUAAUUACUUAUUAAUUAUUUUUUCCAAGAACUGAGGUUGCAAAAUUGUGCUGAAGUUCAGGGAAUGUUUGUUUUUAAAACAAAAACCUUCAGAUUUUCAAUAAAGUUUGAUAACUUCAA
Long non-coding RNA from Alligator mississippiensis (American alligator), 1220 nucleotides. RefSeq lists it as uncharacterized. The transcript is spliced from 3 exons. NCBI's taxonomy places the organism in Eukaryota, Metazoa, Chordata, Crocodylia, Alligatoridae. The record is from RefSeq and is a predicted model, not a curated record.